AAACCAGCACUUCAAGUGGUCAGGAGGAUUAUUGGGCCUAAAGCAUCCGUAGCCUGUUCUAUAAGUUUCCGGUUAAAUCCAUUAGCUCAACUAAUGGGCCGCCGAAAAUACUGUAGAACUAGGGAGUGGGAGAGGUAGACGGUAUUCGGUAGGAAGGGGUAAAAUCCUUUGAUCUAUUGAGGACCACCUGUGGCGAAGGCGGUCUACCAGAACACGUUCGACGGUGAGGGAUGAAAGCUGGGGGAGCGAACCGGAUUAGAUACCCGAGUAGUCC
This 274-nucleotide ribosomal RNA is filed under the name uncultured bacterium. Its description in RNAcentral is "partial 16S ribosomal RNA". It matches the Rfam family "Archaeal small subunit ribosomal RNA", at positions 473 to 747 of the family's 1478-position model. The record is from RNAcentral.